Molecule: long non-coding RNA, 23828 nt
Organism: Mus musculus (house mouse)
Lineage: Eukaryota; Metazoa; Chordata; Mammalia; Rodentia; Muridae
Product: predicted gene, 36685
Exons: 2
Source: RefSeq, a predicted model, not a curated record
UUCUUUCUCCAACUAAAGCCCCUCCCCCUUUCCCAUUUCACUAUUCAAAUUACUUUUUAUCCCUGACAGUAGUCUCUCUAGUGCUACCUCCAGUCAGGAGAAAUACUUUUUCGUAUCCUUCUAGGUGUUUUGGAAGUGUCUGGAGACAUUGACGGUAGUUGCGAGUGGCUAAUGUUGUUCAUGAUUCUAAUAGAAGCCAGAGAUGCUCCUAAGAAACUCACAAUGCACAGGAAAGGUACAGUUCAAUAAACGUAGAGCCCCAGACCCUAAUAGUGUCAGCGUCUAGGCAGUUCUCCCAAAUGCCAGUCACUUGAAAAGUGUUAGGGGACAAAGUCACAGAGGAAGUGGUUAUGACUACAUAUUUUCUUUUACACAUUUUGAGCGGUGGUGGUCACUUCAACACAGACAGACUGCUGUAGAGCCCAUCCUUGGUUUGGAAGGCUUGUGGUAGGAGGGACCCUGAACUUUGAGCUUACUUAGUCUCACGAUGAACCUCUCAUGUCAGAGUUUUUGUUGGAUUCUUUCUCCCCAUCCUGCCUUCAGAAUCUGAAUUUUGCAGUUCAGAUGAGGUAAGUGGGACUUCACUAUCUUCCUGCCUGAGCCUUUAUGCCUUGGUGGGGAGACACAGAAGUGGUCGUCGUCUUGUCCUGCUCUCACCUGAUCUCCUGCUCAUGGGCUUUGUUCUGGGCAUGGUGCUACUUUCCUUGGCUAGAGCAUUGUAAACAUUUCAUGCUUCUCUCUGCCAAAUGUUUCCCCAAAUGCACCAUCUUUAUUGUGUCUGAACCCACAGUAGCUGUUUAAAAUAAUGUUGUUCCCUAUCUGGUAAUAAAAGCAACCCAGACAUAUGAAAGACAACAUAGAAAAAUAAAUUAUGCCAAAAAGUCUAUAAAUUGCCAUAAAUUGUUAUAGCUGGCUAACAGUUUGAUGUGAUUGUGUUUGAAGUAUACAUAUUAUAUAAAGUUUUCCAUUGUCUCUCACUCUCACUUAUUUAACAUACAUCAUGAUUUGUGUUAGUUAGCUUAAUGUUGAUAUAACAAAUACCCAGGAUAAUUAAAUUACACGGGGAAAAGGUUUAUUUUUAGCACUGAGAUUUGGAGAAUUAGCUCCUGAUUUGGCUGAAUCACUGCUUUUUCGGCCUCUGCUGAGGAGCACAGAGUAGGCCAACCCACUCAUUCUCGGUUAACAAGCAAUACAGACAGGAGGAGGCCACAGUGCAGCAACGCACCUUGAGAACAUGUCCCCAAUGGCCUUUCUCUGUGCACCUCUGAAAAGUCCCACAGCGUACCAAAAGUGCCACUCUGGGGACCACGCCUUCAAUCCCUUUGUGUGACAUUUGCAAGCUAAACCACAGAACAGCUCUUCCUGUGGUGUAAAGUAUUUCUGAAACGUGGUUUUGAUUCCUGUCUAAGAUUCAUUCCUGUGACUGUGUCACAAGUGACAUCAUCCCUGUGUCUGGAUCAUAAGUGACAACUGUUCCUUGUGAGACAUUCUGUUCACACCCAGUGUUGUCACUUCUGUGAUUGGUGCUGUAAAGUGAACAUCCUUAGGGGAAAUCCUUAACUAGUGCCUGCUUAUUUCCUUAAAAAACAUCAUUAUUGCCAGAACUGAACUAACUGGACUCAAACUUGAACAUUUAAGUUACGCGAUUCGUAUUACCAAAUUACUAUCCCAGUGACAGUGUUACUAACCUUUAUUCAUGAUACUAUCUUGAUGGUUCAGAGACAUUCUAAACUUUUGAAGUUCCCAGGAUAGGUCAGCUCACAAUCACCUGUAACUCUAGCUCCAGAGGAGCAGAAACCUCUCUGGACUCUGUGGGUACCCGCACUCAUAUGCACAUCCUCCACCCCAAACACACAUACACAUAUAUUUUUUAAAAAACACUUAAUAGAAUGGGUCAUAUAUUCACCUGUAUGGCUUUUCUCUUACUGAGUCACAGUGGCCAUUUUAUAGGUGAGAAAAGUAAGACCUGAAGAAACUGGGAGCCUAGUGUGUGGCUCCAGAGCUAGUGUGAGCAUGCUCAAACCCUCCUUUUCACUCUUGUGCUGGCUAGUCUCAUGUUAACUACUUGAGACAAGCUGGAGUCAUUUUGGAGGAAGGAGCCUCAAUAGAGAAAAUAUCUACACUAGAUUAGCCUGUGGGAAACCCUGGGGCAUUUUCUUGAUUAGUGUUUUGGGGGUGGGGGUGGGGGAGUGUGAUCGCUGUAGGUAGUGUCACUCCUGGGCGGAUAGUCCGAGUUGCAUUUUUAAAAGCAGGUUGAGCAAGUCAUGAGGAGCAAGCCAGUGAGCAGUGUUCCUCCUCAGUCGCUGCUUUAGUUCCUGGCUUCAGGCUCUUGCCUCGAGUUUCUGCUUUGACUUUCCUGGAUGGUAGAAACCUUAGACCUUUAGAUCUGUCACACAAGCUCUAAGAUAAAAUAAAUCCUUUCCUUCCUAUGUUGUUUUGGUUAUGAUAUCUUUAUCACGAUAGAAACCUAGCUGAGACAGACGUGCCCUGGAGACACUGGAACAAUUCCCUUGCCUGGUCUCCUGCCAGACAAACUGACUAGGAUUUUGGGAAAUGAAGGUGGAACCCUGACAUUUUCUAAGGCACACUAAAUGAUUUCAUCAUGUAGCCUUCUCUGAAGGGUUGAGAACACUGUAGUCUGUCUAGAGUCAUAAGACACUCCAUUCCUACUGUCACCUCCUGAUUGGUACUCUUUCCAGAGCCUGAUGCUAAGAUUUCAUUGACUUCUCAUUCAUUGGGGACCUGUGAGGUGUCUCAGUGCGUGGCAUGCUCACUGUGAAAACCUGGAGACCUGAGUUUGAUCCUCAGAACCCACAAAAAAAAUGUAAGGAGAACUACCAACUCUACAAAUUUGUCCCAUGCCCUUCACAUACUUGCCACUGUACACAUGUGUCCUCCCUACUCACACACAACACACAUCCAUCUUAUAUAUGCACACACAAAUAAUAACAAUAACAAUAAAAUAAUGACUAAAUAAAUUAAAAGAAGGUUGAGACUUGCUUCUGUACUGAGGAGUGGUAUUGCACGUGUUCUUGUUAUCUUGGCCUGGGCUGUACUGUCUUUCAAACAUGUUCUUACUGAAAACACAAAGACAAUAAAGGCACAGGCAAGGGUUGGUGUGAGGGUGUCAGCCAGUUGCGAAGGUUGGAGGGCAAGUGCCACAGCACAGGAGAUACUUCAAACUAUUUUUCAGCUACUGGUUAUCCUCCAUGUGAAAUAAAUAUUGACUAUAUUCAGCAUCACCAAGUUAGGUUUUGGGUUCUCUCUCCCCAGAAUUUCCCUGCUGUUGGAAUCAAUUCUCGAACUCCCGGUGACAGUGAUAUGCAGGGGAGACUGGUCAGCGUGGUUCUCUUGGGCUGGUUUUCAUUUGUGAGGGCUCCGAUGGCAAGUACGGCUAACCAGGGGCUUAAACAACAGCGAUUUCCCUCUGGACAGGUUACAAGCCUGGAAUCAGGUUACUGCCGGAGAGUGUCCUUCCAAGGCUUCCUCGUGGGCUUGCUGAUGCCACCAUUGGCUGCCUUCACAUGACUGUGAGCAUCUCUGCUGUCCCUGAACCCUUCUCAGAGAGGGGGUCACAGUAAGUGCUGAAGCUGAUUUUCUCUUUUGCCCUGGAGAUAAACUCCUGAAAAACAAACAAACAAGCAAACAAACAAACAAACAAACAAAAAGCAACCUAAAGGAGAAGAAUUAAUUCUGGCUCCUGGUUUGAAGGCUACAGUCUAUGGGAAUACAUGGCUGCUAAAUUGCAAUAGCAUAGGGUGACUAUGGUGGCUGACGGUAUUGUGUUUAUAGUCAGUAUGCAGGGCUGUUCUCCAGCUCUCUACACCCAACCUUAGAAUCUGCCAGCUGGGUCCCAAGCUCCAAAAGCUACAAGCCUCCCAGAACAGUAACAAGAGCUAAGGACCAAGUGUUCAAAACACGUUCCUUCUGGGACAUUUCACAUUCAAACACAACAAAACUCAAGGCUCCAAAUAUAGCCCACGAGGAACAGGUAAGGCAUCGAUGUUAUAAAUUGAGGAGGGGAUGCUCGCAGGCAAUAUUGUGCCUGUAAAUGGGGUGCUGAACUGUGUGAAGUGUUUUUCUUAAAAAGUGCCAGACUAGUCCCAGAUAGAGACAAUGUUCUUAAAGUGACUUUUCCAUAUGUACAUACGUACUCAUGUAUGUAUGUCUGUAUGUAUGUAUCCAUGCAUGUAUAUAUGUACACACACACAAACACACAUACACACAUACGUUGUCAUACUAUAAUGAGGGAUUCCUAAAGGUACCCAGUGGGUAGACACAAGGGAUAGAGUUUAAUGUCCUACCCUUUCUCACACAGUGACAAAGACCAAUCUGGUCUAAAAUGCCCAGUAGCAUUUUGCCAAGGUCAGAGCAGAGCACUGGAUUAGGGAGCCCUUGGUUUGAAUUUCUCUUGGGACAGCUGUUAGAUGUGUGCUGAGCAGCACAUCCCUUCUGUAAAUGUCCUCAUUGGCAAGUCCCUAUGGUAGGGCAAAUGAGACCAUCUAGUACAGAUUUUUGCUCAUGGCCCUAUUCUGGGAGGUCCUCGGCAGCCUUCAAGUGCUUUCUCACACACAGAAUCAAUUAGCACUGGGCAGGGUCUGGUAAGACACAAGUAGAGCAGUCGAGGGCAGGUAGGCCACAAGAAGGCAAAGGCCAUGGCUUGUAGAAAUAGAUUGGAUCCUGUAUUAUCUUUGGAUGGUUUCCAAUCUCAAACAUGUCAACUUCACCGAGCAGAGCAUGGCUUGAGUUAGGGGCAGUCCUGUCUCUGACCGUAAAAGGCCGAGUCAUGUGUUUCCAGCGUAUGUGCCUCCUGCCGCCGCUUCCCUGAAAUCCGUUAGAAAGGGAUUGUCAGACACAUCAGAUUUCUUCUUCACAGUGUCAGGUCCAAAAGGCCCAGAGGUGACAGCGAAAGCUGAGGAGAGGAGAGGGUGGUGUGACCCUAUCCCCACCUCAUGUCAGAGUUUUCGGACACCCCCUUCUUCUACCCCCUGCUAUCCUCAGGGUUUUCUGCUAAUUAAUACAUUCCUAUGCUCUGUAGCCACAGAAAGAAGAUCUGAUUUGUCUUUCAUUAGCUUCCCCCAGCCCUGCUACACAAAGCUGCCUUUGCUUCAUGGGCCAUCCUGUUACUAAUGUCGUCCACUCUGGGGACCUAGUGGAGUGAAGACGGUUCCUGCACACUGUGGGAAACAGCUCCAUAUGGGGUUGUUGCAGCUUCCCUGUUACCCUCAUUCAAAGUCUUCAGCGAUCUCUUAGACUCAUGUCUGGGUCUGGGGGCCUGGAUGAGAUGUAAAUGUUCAGUAAAUGUCAAGAGCCAGCCACCUCCAGACAUGUCGUCCAGUAGUUGUCCAUAGCUCCGUAGUCCAACCCUGUCUAUGUGUGUUAGAGUAGACGCUUAUGAAAUCCCUCUUAAAAGGAGAAGGGGGUGCUAAGUAGUUUUAAAUUCCUCUUUAACCUAUAGCUGCCAUCGACUGACCACCUGCCAGGGAUUUGCCCUGUGUGCACAGGCUCGCUUAACGUUCACAAAAUUCUCAGAGCCAGAAUUUUUUACCUUCAGGUUACAGGUUAGGGCAACAGAAUCCCACACCCUGAAUAAGGAAGGCAGUGCUAAGCAGGGCCUUGAGGGCCGUUCCUAGCUCCUCACCACUACCAAACCUCCCACUGAAAAUUAAUCUAGUAAGAGUGAUGACAUUAGGAUGGCACAUAAUAAACAAAGCCACGUGUUCUAAAUAUUCUAGCCGUGCGGCUCAGUCCGGUAUUUUGUGACAAAGGUGUUGAAAGCAUUUUUUUUCAUGGGGAACGGGUUGAAAACCCAGCGAGGGCUUGCUCACGUCUGUUCCUCGGGGUGGUGUUACCUAUUCAAGGAGAGCACAGACCUGCCCAUGGAAUCCUGGUGCUCCUUUCCUCAGGGUGGCAGGACCCCAGGCAUCCUAAGUUUUUGAGGAACCUGUUACCAUUUCCAUGAAUGCUAUGCUAGUCUGCAUCCCAGCAAUGGUGCUAGGACACUCCCGUUCAUCUUUGGUGGCCCUUGUGAAUGCUUGCCCUUUUCCUGGUCGCCUUCCUAAGAGGUAGCAAGCAUGUCACUGUGCUUGGAUGAAUAUCAUGUCACUUUAGGUUGUAUAUGAAACAAAUGCUUUGCAAAAAUAGAGAGUUUUUUUUCUAUGAUAUAAUUGCUCUGCCCUGUAAAUGGAAUGAGCACAUUCAUUCAGCUGAACAUGGGAGAAUUCUUACUUACAGGGUAAUGUCUUCCUUUCUAUUGUCCCCCAUCCCAUAAUAGUGAUUUCUUCACUACAUAUUCCGAUUCAACCAUCAUUCCAUAAAGCGUACAGAUCAUCCAGUAGGCAGAUAGAAAUGAUCCUCGGUUUCUGCAGCCACAGGAGCAGGCAUUUGCUGGAAUGCAGGUCCACCAUUAACAAUGGGAGGAUGCCUGGCACAGGUGCAUGAGCACUGAGCAGGGACCUCGCCUGUCAGGGGACUCUCCUAGGGAAUUUCUUGAGAGGUAGAAUUGAAUUGUUCUUGAAGAAUCAGGCAGAAUUGGGAUGGGCAACAGGAGGCUAUACCUUGAGUAAGGAAAGAACCCAUCAAGUCCAAGCACAGUAAAUGAGAAAAAGGAAGGCUUUCAGGAAGAGCAAAGAACAUGUGCAGACCAAGAGAGCGGGGAUGACGAGGGGAGCAAGAAUGGAAAGCAGAGCUAUUCUAGAAAUACUGGAGUACAUCAUAUGUCAGUAACUAACCAGCAGUCAGUGCCGCAAAGGAGCAGCACAGCCCUGGGACUUCACAGACCCGCGUUCCCACUAGAUGCCAGUGCAUGUUAGCAUGCGGCUAAUCCCAGACUGAGAAAGGCCAAUUGUCUUCUUCCUUCCUUCGGGAGAAGUUGCACAGUGAAGACAGCACUUUGCAUUCCGCCCUCUUGCAACUGGCAGAGUGUCUGAAGCUGUGCUUUGUCCCAUAGUUAUGAUCCAUGACAAUUACAUUACCUAGAUAACAGUCCUUAGAGCGAGGGUGACAAAUUCAUCACCGGCACUUAAAUCAACGCCUGGUCACUUAAAUAAAUAUCCGCUUGGCUUCGUUACUUUUCUGUCACUGUCAGUGAGAAAGACUUCCUGGGAUCUUUUGUUUGGUGCUAGAAAUGAAAACCCGAGGAAUGGGAAAAAUGAAAGACGGGUUUUUCACACACUGUAAAUAUCCAUGUUCUGAGAUAAAUGUGCAGUUCUGAAUACCUAAGGAAAGUAUUUGGCCCCAGGGUAUGAACAGGUAUCCCACUCACCUGGAUAUGGAAAUCUCCUAGAAAGAAAAAUAUGCAAAAAGUACCCAAAACCCCAUUGUGGCACUUGUCAAUUUGGGAGAACAAUUUGUGAAUGUCUCUUUUUAAGCUCUUCCUAAUCUCCAAUGAGUCUCCUUUCUUCUCUCACAACUGGGACAGUUCCUGGCAUGAUUUUUGAGCACUGAAAAGGGAUUUCACCUGCGUGCCACUCCAGGCUUAAGACAGGGUGUUCUCUUCUCUCUCGUGCCCUUUCGUAAAAGUACUAGUCUACAUCCUAUGGUAGUUUGCUAAGCACUGACUUCAUAAAGUAGGCACAGGAUGUAUAAGGUACUUUAGAGGAAUAAGUUAACCAAAUGGUUUAGCACUUAAAUGCUAGAGUUGAAUUUGAACCCAGGCAAAUGAGGCCAAACCAUGGUUUUCUGUCACACUGUGCCAUCUUUCUGUGGUAUCUGGACUUGUAGCUUAGUAUUUUUGUUCUGACCUCUUAAAUUCCUAGAUCGUAGUUUUCACAGAACUUUCUCAGACGACACUGAAGCAAGGGUUAUUCAAAGAGGAAGAGGGAGGCAGAGAGAAAGACAGAAAGCCUCUAGGAUGCAUGCCUAAGAUGCUGUGGCUAGAACAGAUAGCAUCCCGGAAUCUUCUACCAUAAACAAGGUGGUUUUGAACGGGGUCCUCAGGUCUCUGGCUCUGCAUUUGAAAGCCGAAAGAUGGGAUCAGAUGCUCUCUGGCUUCAUUCAGUCUCCCAAUCUAUAAAUCUAAUUUACUUAGCAAACAGAGAGAGAGAGAGAGAGAGAGAUGUGAUGGGGGGUGGUGGUGAGAAUGGGAGAUAGGUUUCACCAGCGGGAUCUAAUUCAGUUUGGGGUUUUAUAUUACAGGGACAUGUUAGUUAGAGCUCUGUAGACUGCAAUUAUAAAAACCCAACCUGAACCAAGCUGCUUACUUUCAAACUGGGGGGUUUAUUGAUUUUGUGACUGGGAUGCAUCAUGGAUUCCAAAGAUUUGGAGGCAUGUGAGCUUCAUUUGGGAAGGGCUUGUCUACUGGAGCUAAGAGCUCCCAUAUCUUUGCCCCUCUGCCUCUCUGAUGCUUGGAUUCUCUUGAAGAAUGUUUACCUGACCAAGUGACUAGAAAUAAAUCUCUUAUAUUUGAUUCAAUUCUACAGGAAGCUAUUUUUCCAGCCUGGGUCAUAUAUUAGUUACUCCUGUGUCACUGUGACUAAAGUACCUGCCAGAAACAACUUAAAUGACGAAGGGAUCGUCUGAGUUUAUAGCUUUGGUUCAGUCCAAAUAUCUUGACACUACCCACUUGAACAAAACAUCAUGGUGGCAGGAGGGUGUGGCACAGGCUGUCACAAAGGAUGGGAGGAAGAGGAAUGCAGAAUGCUGGCAUUCAGCUAGCAUUAUUAUUUUUUUUUAAUCUAUUAUUUUACUCCAUGCAGGCUACCAGCCAUAGUGUAUUGCCAAGCAUGUUCAGUGAGGGCCGUCUACUCUCAUUUAAUCCUUUCUGGAAAUACGCUCAGAAAAAACCCAGAGGAAUGCUCCCCCAAUUUCCUAUGCAGCUCUAAAGACAGCCAAGUUGAUGAUAUUGAUUAAGCCUCAGCUCCCAUUGGACUGAUCGACUGCAGCCAACUGGAUAGAAUUAGGUAGUAGAGAUAAUGUAACCCCAUGUGACUCUGAGCAGAGAACAAUCCCAGCCACUAAGGAGUCAGGUUGAAUCUUUCUAGAUGAGGAGGAUGAAAGGCCCCAUGCAUCCUGUUGAAGACUGUGCCGAAGAGCAGCUGAAGGACUUAGCUUUGCUCAUGGGCAGUGGCUGGCUGAAUUAAGACUGGAAGACACAUCUUAGAAUGUUUGCUCUCUUUACCUAGGUGAGAAUAAUACAUUAAAUUUCAUUAGGAAAGCUAAUAACUUAUUUGAGGCUUUAUAACCACUUUGAGAUAAUUCUAAGCACAAGAGAAAAAGGAAUCUAAAGAAUUACUCCCCUUCCCUUCCUAUGAGAUAUACAUAUCUGUUCUUGUACAGAUUGAUCUGGGUCAAUGUAAAAUUGAAUAUUGCAAUGUUCCCCUCCAAAGUAAGCCUCCACUCAAUUCCUAACUUUAUAAAACUGUCAGAAAGAUUUUAUCUAACCAUUAAAAGUUGAGCAUUAAAUGUAUCUUACAUUUCUUAUAACUCUCGAACCUCUCACCUCUCCGUUCCCAGUCUAGAGCCACAAGGUAUCCUUGUGGCAUUGCUACCAGUGAGAUGUGUUUGAGGGGCUGGGGCACUUGAGUUGUGGAAGAAUUUUCUUUGUGUGAAACUCAGCUCAAGCUCUGUCACGCUUGAUGGAGCUGUUUAUGAACUACCUCCUUUCAACCCCAACCAGCAGACCCCUGGCUGCAUUUCACAAGCUAUUAAAAACACGAGUGCUCUCUUUGCUUGUGUGUGUGGCAUCUAACCAUUUAUUUUGAAUAUUGCAUAUUUGGAAAAGCAUUCAAAAUAGAAAAUGACAGCUUUGGGGGAUUUUGCCUGUGCCCCGAGUGAACUGGGUCUCUAAUCUGAAACAUACUCACAUUAUGCAGGAAUGAUGGCCGCGGUCUGAUGCUGGGGAUUUUUUUUUUUAAUACUUGAAAGCUCUAUUUUUCUAUUUUCAGGGAAUUUUGUUUUGAUUUCUGCUUUCCAUAGACAGUAGCAGACACUCACCUCCCUUAAUCAUUCAUGGGCUUCCUUGCUGUUUUUAUUUUGGCUCCAAAGAGUUUUUCCCUUCUCCAAAAAUACCCUCCAAACCAUACAAGAUUUUUCUCAGUAUUAUUUAAACCAAUACAAUCUUCUGUUAAGUGAUGUCCCUACACUUUAUUGACACUUUCAGGAACAUUUCAUCCUUCGGUAAACCUGUGAAACAGUGAUCAUUCUUCCCUCCCUGUUGUGGACAGAUGAGGAACUUGAACUUCUGAGGGUGACUGAAGGUCACGCAAGGUCAUAUCGGUGCCCGGGGUCUAUGUCUAAAGUGCCUACACUUCUUAAUCAUCCAUCUGUCCAACCACCCAUCCUUCCCAAAGCAAUAAUUACACUCCAGCAAAAGAGUCAACAGGCCAUCGGCUACCUCAGGAGCCUCUGGAAGCUCUCAGAAACUCAAUGUAAUAGAGUUGUUAGGUUUUCUAGCAGGGCUGGAAAAUUGCUCACACCAGAAGACAGUGGCUAAGCAUUAUCAUGUUUGGUAGCACCUACUCAACUACGCUGAAGGAUGCUUAAGCUAACACAAGCUCUUGCUCAUGCAGUCCACAUGGGCAGCUGCUUUUCCUAGUGAGGGCUAAGUCCAUGCUGACAGCUCCAGAGUGGGUGGGAGGGGCUCCUUUGCUCUUCUCCUGGCUCAGCUGGCAGUAUCUCAACCAUACUAUUAUACUGACAGCAAAGAACACACCAGUCAUCCAGUUCUCUUUGCCUUUCCUCCAUACUCACUAUUGGUGGCUGGUGAUUGGAAUUUCUUACAAGGAAAGCAAUAGUGUCCUUGGGGAUGGAGAGAUGGCUCAGUGGUUAGGAGUAUUUGCUAGCAUCACAGACGACUUCAGUUUGGUUCCUAGGACCCUUAUGGGGUAGCUUUUAGCUGUCUGGAACUCUAAGCCCAAGGGAUCUGAUGCCCUCUCUUUUGGCUUUCAUAGGCACCAACAAGCAUGUGGUAGACAUAAAUACAGGCGUGCAUAUGCACAUGCACACAUAUGUACAGAUAAAAGGAAUAUGUUAAUCUUUUAAAAGGAAGAAUUAAAGAAAAGAAGAGGGCCAAGAAGUGGGAGUGAGUGGGUAGGGGAGCAGGGCAGGGGGAGGGUAUAGGGGACUUUUGGGAUAGCAUUUGAAAUGUAAAUGAAGAAAAUAUCUAAUAAAAAAAAGAAAAGUAGAAAGAAGGGAGAAAUAAUGAAAAAAAAAGGAGGGAAGACAGACAUAGAGAAAGACAGUUGUGUUCUAGUCAGAGGUUGGCACACAUUUAAUAAAGGACCACAAACAUAGGAUCAUAUGAGGUACUUGCCUUGGCAGCAAGAUACAUGAAGAACAUUGAAAAACUCAAUAAUUAAGAUAAAAAGUAUUUUAAUACACGUGUUUUUAAAAAUUAAAAUUAGAGUUGCAUAUUCAACAAAAUGUCAAAACCUAAAGACCAGCUCCUUCCAGUGUCCUUCAGCACCAUGCAGAUGAGUGCAUAAUCAGAAAUAAUAAUUAUCAAUACUGCAUGCUAGAAAGAGUAUUGAUAUCCUAGGCAGAAUUUGCUCAGUAUUUAGCUGUGUCACUCCUCAAGACCUUAAAACCCUCCUUAUGUUCUUCCUCCAGGUCUCCUUUAGUUGUAAUUGUACCUUGCUGCCCCUCACUGUUCUUAAGCCAGGACAUGCAGGGAACCCUUGUGCCUGGAAAUGACUCUGUAUCUCUCCUACUAAUGAGUGGAGCUGCUGAGAUGGAGGCUUCACUGGCCUCACAAGCCUGCUAGACAUCUUAUUAUGUGGCCAUGGUAAAGGAGGCAGGUGGUUAGAGAUUCCUUUGCAAAUGCUUGUUUGAUCCCAGAGCCAGAUUUCAAAACAUUAUGUCUUGCUCCCACUAAUUAGCUGCCCAGUAAGCAAGAUUAGUGAUAAAUAUGUUUAGUUUCUGCAUUACAUCUUUGUUGUGCACUGAGAAAAAACCUUGCAGAAUCCAACUGGAGUAGAACAAGGUGAAAAGGAAGUGGGCUUUCUGGUUUGGUGCCACUUGAAUACUGUGUUUGCUUAGAUACCAUUUGUUUGGAGUGUCUACAUCUCAGCUGAGGUCCUAGGUUGGGUGAACAAGGGCUGCCCAGGUGAGUCACUGGCUCUUCUCCCACUGGCUUUUCUCCGAUAGACUCACAUCUCUACACAAACGGUUUGACAAUGUAAAUUUCUUACAAUGUAAGACUACAGUUCACAAACUGUGCUUCAUGUUGGGGUUGAAAAAAUUUGCUGUAAGACUCCAUGUUGCUCAAGAAUGCACCAUACUCCAUAACAGAAGGGGAGAAACCAUUCCUACUUCUCUGCUAGUAGGCUUCCCAGAGCACAGCCUAAGAGACAAAGCAAGUUAUCAGCCUCUCCCUGGCCCUGGAGUCUAUUGUGUGCCAUGAGCUCUUUACAUGAGCAGUUCUCAUACAUGCACCCUUUCCUGAGCCAUUUCGAAGGGUUAGCAUGUCAUCUCUGUCCUGCCUCUGGUGCUCCUGGACCAUGGUGGACUAAAAUAACAACCAGUCUACCAAGAUAUGUCUACUGGUGCCACAAUGGCAUCCCUAUUAUGGGAAUAACCAACAGCCUUAUGAUUGGACUUGAGCCUCACUUCUGAAGAGGGAAUUCAUUGCUAGUACUGUAACCUGGUCAAAAGCCCAGGUCCUGGGAGGAGGGAGGACCUACUAAUGUUGUUUUACUAAAUUUAUAUAUUGUCAAACUGCCUUCUAAAUAUUUAUGUUUAUACACAUUUACUAGCAUGACUCUCAGCCUUCAUCAGAGAAGCGUCUUUUAUGGUAUGUGAUGGUUAAUACAGAGAUUCACAGCUGGGAAGUGCUGAGAAUAAACAACUGUUGAGUGCUUGGCUCUAAAUAGGAUAACUGCACCAUGAUGUCCAACACUUGGGGCAUUGCCACAGAAAGAAGCCACAAGCCAGAGAGUAGGGACGGUUACUGAGAAGCUGUGACUUCUGGACAUGAUGUGAUGUUUGUACCGUGAACUUAUUGCAGCUGUGGUUACCAACACAGGAAUGGGCUAGUGGACAUUCUAACAUGCAUGGAGCUCCAGGUUCAUGAGGCCGUGGCUCUCCCUGAGGGCCUAUGGUCAAAUAUGCAACCACACUCAAAGGGAGAUGGAUUCCAGUCCCCCAACUUCCUCCACCAAACACACUCAACAUCAAAGUAAGGGGCAUUUUGGGGAAUAACAAAAUUUAGGUGGGAGAGAAAAAGAGACAAGAAGGAGAAAUGGAAGUAAAAAUGACUAAUUAUUGUACACAUACAAGAAAUUAUCAAAGAAUAAAUAAAGCAUGGGCAUAUAAUUACAAUGCAAUUUAAAACAUGAAACAAAAAUCAUGAUUCAACCCAAAAUCUAUUGACAUUUCAUUGAAUAAAAAUCUAAACUUUUUAAAAAACAGUAUAUAGUGAGUUUUGUUUGUUUGUUUUUUGUUUUUUGUUCUUUUAAAGUAACAUGUCUUAGUUAGGGUUUUACUGCUGUGAACAGACACCAUGACCAAGGCAACUCUUAUAAGGACAACACUUAAUUGGGGCUAGCAUACAGGUUCAGAGGUUCAGUCCAUUAUCAUCAAGGUGGGAACAUGGCAGCAUCCAGGCAGGCAUGGUGCAGGAAGAGCUGAGAGUUCUACAUCUUCAUCUAGAGGCUGCUAGCAGGAUGCUGACUUCCAGACAGCUAGGAUGAGGAUCUUGAAGCCCACACCCAUGGUGGCACACCUACUGCAAAAAGGCCACACCUUCUAAUAAUGCCACUUCUGGACAGAGCAUCUACAAACCAUAACACACAUGAUUUUAAAAUGUUGAAGUUCCAGCUGGGGCAGAGCUAGAGCUCCAGAACCCCUCUCACACUCAGAGACAGUUUAACUCCCAGGAGAUUCGUCACAAUCAGGCUCACAGGUGAGACAACCUCCCUCACCCCUGUCACAAUACCAGGCCUAACUGGGACCCCCCAUGGGGCCCAUUAGAAGCAAGACCUAUCCACCUGCAAAACUUCUGGUUCACAACUGCACUGGAGUAGAUCAGGUGCUACAGAACCCCUGUACCCACAACAUCCACACUCAGAUACAGAUCAACUCCCAGAGCUCCACCAUAACCACAUUUGCGGAGACAGCCUGAUUUAACAAGGUCCAUCAUAACCAGUCACAAAGGAGGGAGAGGAUCCAGUCAGAGACAGCAAAGCCAGUUAACACCUGACAUAACUAGAUGGUGGGAGGCAAGCACAAAAACAUAAGCAACAGAAACCAAUGCUACUUGGCACCAUCAGAACCCAGUUCUCCUAACACAGCAAGCCCUGGAUUCCCCAACACAACUGAAAAGCAAGAUUCUGACCUAAAAUUCCAUCUCAUGAUAGACUCCCUUAAAGAAACACAAGAGAACACAGGUAAACAGGUAGAAUCCCUUAAAGAGGAAACUCAUAAAUCCCUUGAAGAAAUACAGGAAAACACAAUCAAACAGGUGAAGGAAUAAAACAAAACCAUCCAGGAUUUAAAAAUGGAAAUAGAAAUAAUUAAGAAAUCACAAAGGGAGGUAACCCUGGAGAUGGGAAAACUGGGAAAGAGAUCAGGAGUUACAAAUGCAAGCAUUACCAAUAGAAUACAAAAGAUAGAAGAGAGAAUCUCUGGCAUAGAAGACAUCAUAGAAGAUAUUGACACAGCAUUUAAAGAAAAUACAAAGUGCAAAAAGUACCUAACCAAAAAUAUCCAGGAAAUUCAAGACAAAAUGAAAAGACCAAACCUAAGGAAUAGAAGAGAGAGAAGAUUCCCAAAGCAAAGGGCCAAGAAACAUCUUCAACAAAAUCAUAGAAGAAAACUUCCUUAACCUAAAGAAAGAGAUAGCUAUUAAUGUACAAGAAACCUAUGUACAAUAAAACCUCUGGUUUUAUUUCUGUAUAAUCUAUUUCCCGAUUAGCCCCUGGCCGUUGACCCCGAUUCAGGUUCCUUGACUGGGGCCUGAGGAGUUCUAAGUCUGGCAGGUGGCUCAGUCUGAGACACCUGAUCAACCAAGGGUCCUAAGUCAGAUACUUUGUACCCUGCCCCUCACAGCAAUUCCUUCAGCUUUCAGUGACCAGGUGUGAAGCUUGAUGAGUCUGAUGGAUGAGUUGCUUAGCAAUCUCCUUAGGGUGGUGCAGCCUUCAGAGGUCAGCAACCAUCCGUCUCUUCUGUAAAACCCUCAGCACUUCCCCUGAUGUCAUUUGUCUUCAGCAGUAUAUUCAGAAAUGGCUGGGAGUGCAGGGGACAGCAAAGCUACUAGGAUGUUUGCAGUGGAAGCUUGGGUGGCCUCCCUAUUGGUUUCACCAGCUAGCCUGUUCCCCUGGGCUGUUUCUGAUGUCCCCUUUCUGAUACCCAGGGCAGUGAAUUAUGGCUACUUUCAGAGGAAGCCAUAAUGCCUCCAAUAAGGCAAGUAUUUCCUUCCGCAGUCAAUAAUUCCAUCUGCUGUCAGUGUAAAUGUUAACUAUGCCUCCUUUUGCCAGUUUCAAUGCCUGGGUUAGAACCUUUAGUUCAGCUUUCUGGGCUGAAGUUCCCGGCAGCAAAUCAGUUGGCCAAAUAACGGAGUCCAAGUCCAUUACUGCCGCCCCUGCAUACCUGAUUCCAUUCUGGAUGAAGCUGGCCCAUCCGUGAAGUAGAUAAGUUCAGUGUCUGGCCAGGAUCUGUCAGUCAAUUCCGAUAUGAUGUUCUGGAUGUGCUCCAGAACUAUCGAACAAUCAUCCUGUGUGUCUGAGGACGGAUCAGGUAGCGGGGUGGCUGGGUUUAGGGCAGAUGAUGGGUUAUAUCUUAUGUGAGGGGGAUUCAAAAGUAAAGCCUGAAAGUGUACCAGUUUGGCCUUAGACAGCCACUAGCUGGGUGGAUCCCUGGGGGGUCCCUUCAAUAGAAUGGGGGAUGUUGAUAACAAGUUCCUGCCCCAAGGUUAUUUUAUCAGCAUCCGGGCAGUAGCAGCUAUAAUCCCGAGGCAGGCUGGUCAUCCUUGGGCCACGAGGUCCAACUUCUUAGAUAAAUAAGCCACAGGUCUUUUCCAUGGUCCCAAAGUUUGGGUAAGCACCCCCUUUGCUCUCUCCUUUCUCUGAUCCACAUACAGGUGGUAAGGUUUGUGAAUGUCCGAGAGAGCCAAGGCCAGCAUCUUAAAAGCCAUGCCCAUCUCAGGGGUCCAUUCUCUUCUUGGGCCCUGGUGGCCUCAUAUAAUGGUUUGGCUAACUCAGUGACCCUUGGCACCCAAAGAUCCCAAAAAUUCCUGUACUUGCCUUUGGGUUGAUGGAACUGGGAUGCUAAGGAUGUUUUGCUUUGGGGGCAUCUGACAGCAUGCAUUGGCUGGCCCUCCUCAGAUAGGGGACCUCAAGUUGACCAAGUUGGGCCUUCUUAGCAGACACUCAGUAGCCAAGUUGACUCAGCUCCUGAAGCAGGUCUUGUGUGCCAUGUGGUGAUAUAUGGCACUUGGUCCAAGUGGCCCCAAGUCUCAUAGACUAAACUUUCACCUUGCAAAUGAUGGGGAGAUGGAAAGUCCCCUCCUCAGGCCAUGAGCGGGCCAUUCAUUCCUGCAAAAGAUGGUUAGUUUGAGGGGACUAGCAAUCAGACCCAAGUGACUCAGUGAAAGAAUCCUUAAUAUGGUUCAGGACCAAGCCCAGUGAGGUGCUUUGUACUUGUCCCAUCCUAGGAAUCAAAGAAAAAAAUUGUAUGAGAGGAUAAGAAGCAGAAACAGAAUACACACAGACAGACACAGGAGGACAGAAUACACACAGACAGACACAGAAGAACAUUCCUAGGAAAACAAAAACAAACUGAAAGCCUAUCUCAGACUGUCUGUCUCCUUGCACAUGGAAACCCAUAGACCCACAGCCAGUUCAGAAUCCAGAUGGGAAGCAACAAGGCCUCCAUCUUCUGGUAAGGGGUCGGGAGCAUCUUCCAUUGCUCCUGGCCAGGUGACAAAAUACAGGUCCACUUUGUUCCUCUCAGCCUCCAAAUUAAACCCAAAACAAAUACAGAUAUGGAUAAGACGAAAGAAAACUGGGUGCCUGGACUUACCAUCAGAAAAACACUCUACUAUUUGGGUCGGGGUGGGGGGUGUCUCCAGUGAAUCCUAGGACAAGCCUCCACAUGCAAAGGUCCGUGAUUCCCUGAAGAAUGAUACCCUACAUUCAAAUAGUAUGUAAAUGCUGAGAGUUUUAUUCUGCAGAGGUCCAGCAUGCUGGGGUCUUCAAUUAUCAAAAUAGAGAGACAAUCAAGUAAGCUUGCAGGCCUGAUUUAAAGCACAUUAGGGAAUUCUGGGGUAAGUGACUGCUAUGUUAAUCUGUUGGGUCCACCUCUAUGGAGAGUCCAUUACUGGGGCCUGGGGGCUAGAAACAAAAUACAAAAGAGCCAGAUAUAGUGUCUUAUACCUAUAAUUCCAGCAUUGGGGAGGCUGAAGCAGGGGGAUUGCUGUGAGUUUGAUGUCAGUCAGGCUAGAAUUUGAGAACUUGUCUCAAAGAAUAAAAUGUUCUAUGAUGUUUCCCUUCAUGGUAAACUCUUGCUUCCUAAUUUCUUUGCAAUAUGUCCUGCUUUCUGUAGUGUCCCUAUAAAAGAAUUUUUUCUGCUUCUGUUUGUGUCUCUUAGCUUUUCUUGGAAGCCUUUAACUAUCUAGUGUUUUUGAGUGCCUUUACAUAUUAAAACAACAACAACAACAACAAAUAAAAAAAAAACCAUGCAGGAGCUGAUGGGGGACUGCUUCCUUCUGGGAACCAGGUCCUGAACGGCCUUGACUUUGUGCCAGUGAUGUAGAUCUUUUCAGUGGGAUGGGACCACUUCAUUCUCCAACCUAGGCUUUAAGUUUCAUUGCUGUUCAAAGGUAGAUGGGGAAAGGAGCCUAGAGUAGCACACUGUUCAGCAGUCAGUCUGGUCUGCUUCUGAGCCAGUGACUGUGUUGUUUAUUUCCAGGUGUAAGUGCUAACCCACUAAAGGAGGGUUGGAAUCACAACCCAAUCUCUCCUUUGUCUGCUUUGUCCUUGCCCCUGGGCUUUCCAACGCUUGAGCAUUUCCAGAGAUCCUGGGCAACUCCAUCUGCUUCCCAGCCAGAGAACCACCUAGAAGCAUGCACUUUGAGCCCUGUACCCUGCUGGGCUCAUCCUCUUUAUAAUGUGUAUAUUUUAUGGCUUAUGGCAACAGCUGCCUCCUAUUGCUGGUGAAGAACUGGUGUUGCUGUUUCUUCUUGUACUUACUGUUGUGGGUGCCUCUGAGAGCAGAAAUGAUCAUCCUAACAUCGUGCACCAGGAGUGGGGUUUUUGUCCUUUCAGCUGGCUAUUAAAGGACUCUCUCCUUUCCACAGUGCCUGAGUUUGGUUCCCUUAGUGUUUCAAGGUCAUCCUGACGAUUUACUAAGUUGAGUUAUCUUAAACGACAGACAUCAAGUAUUACCUAAAGACACCUAGCAUUUCUGGGAGGCGAUUGGGAGAUAAAAUAACCAGAGCCCAGGUCCCAGGGCCUUUCACUAUGUAGGCGCUUCUUGGAUCGGUAUUUCUGUUCCUUGCAGCGGGUUUAACUCUCUUCAGUUUAUUUUUCAAUCUAUUAAUCUGGUACAAAAAAUAAAAAAAGAACGGUCUGAAGUUCAACAUGUUAAGAUGUUUUCAACUCAGUUUUCUCUCUCAUCAGCUGCAGGGUUGGGGGGGGGGUCGGCCCAAGAGUGGGGAUGGGGGGUGAGGGUGGGUGGACUUGAGUGAUGAGAAUAUGCUUAGAGCUGUUGACGAAAUUAUUGAUGAUUUCUUUAAGAAUUUAACAGUCCAUUUGCUUAUUUAUUGAAUUUGUCAAACUGGCUUUAAGUGCCAGGCAAAACGCAUGCUGAUUCCAAAAUGAAGAAACCCCAAUUUUGUGCCAACAGGUUAGCAGGGGAGGCAGGCACAGGAGUACAUCACUAGGACCCAAGGUGGCUAAGUGUAAAGAGAUGCAGUAUGGGAGUACAGACCAUAAACAAAUACCCCAGCCUGGGAGCAUGGUGACGCGAUGAGGCUUGCUCGCCUAAGGGGUGGUGGCAACAGUUACUGAAAGAUCAGGGGAUGCCUGAAGGGGUGUUAGAGAACAGGCAUAUCCAGAGAUCACAGAAGAGUUAGUGUUGUUCUGGAGGGCAAAGGCAAUUUUGAAUGUAUGGACUGCCUUAAAGACUCACAGUCUACUCACAUGAGGCGCAGUUCUCCUUCCAGUCCCUAGACACGUGUACGUUCGAGGGACUCUAAAUUCUUAAGAUGCCAGAUGUGGUGGAUACAUCUGUCGUAUGAAUUGGGUAUAGUGUCCAGGGAAGUGUGCACAUUUACACUUGUGUAUGUGUAGGUGUGCUUGGGCUCUGUCAUCUUUGGCUGGUUUCACUGUCUUUUUCCCCUUAGCUGUUUCAGUCUGACCUCUGCCACUGGUCUAUUAGAUUAGCGUAUAAUCUAAUAUGCAUGUAUAUAUUAUACAUACAAAUAUACAAUAAUGUGGUCUAUUGGGUUACACUCUGCUGUACUUCUCUGUGACGUCUCUGUGUGAUUCUCUAGGAAAACAGCUGCCGUGCUCUGUGAAAAUCCUUGUGCUCUGGCUGAUACCACAAAGCAGACUUCUUUGCUGUGAGCUGGUUCUGACUGCCCCUGGAUUUCCUGAGAAGGUGUUCCUGCCCGAGGCUGUGAGGGAACUGAGACACAGCUAUCUCCCUUGAGACAUACAGGGAAUUCUAGCUCAGCACUGAAACUCGGCUGCUGAGGUUAACAUGAAUUUUCCUAAUUAGACUGUUCAUAAAAGAGGAUGUCCCAAUCACCGGAGGUUUCAGACUUUCUUUAGAAUCCAGGGCAAGCUGAUGGGGACAUCACUCAAAGCUGCUCCUAUUGGGGCAGCUGCACGUAGCUCCCCUUUAUGGAGGCUAUAAAGGUUGCUAUGGCCUGCUGCUGUAGGAGGAAGCUUCUCUGAUGUUGUCUGAGCAAGAUGAAGUCUGAUCUAUGGGCUGGAGCGAGCACUGACUGCUUUUCCAGUGGUCCUGAGUUCAAUUCCCAGCAACCACAUGGUGGCUCACAACCAUCUGUAAUGAGAAUCUGAUGCCCUCUUCUGGUGUGUCUGAAGACAGUGACAGCGUACCCACAUACAUGAAAUAUAAAUAAAUAAAUCUAAAAAAGACACUGAUCUAUGAGUAUAGCAGAAUAUCGUUAGGAGUUAUUUUAUCACUGUUUUUUUGUUUUUGUUUUAAGAGCAGUAUUAUUUGAUUUUACCCUAUGUCUCUGGGCUGUCUAGUCUCUGGUUCUUGGUCAUCCAAGCAGUGUUGUGUGUGUGUUCCAUCUCCUGAAGUGAGCCUUAAGUCAAAUUCCUGCUUUUCAAGGUCUGUCAGAUGAUUCUGGGCCAGAAGGCUGAUGGUCCAACUUCCUGACAUUAAGCUUAUGAGUUAAGGGCCAGAUAGUAAAUUCAUGGCUCUGAGUUUAUUGUUAGGGUGUUUCCAAGAUAUUUUAAUUAGAUCUGAAAGUAGUUAAUGGACAACAGUCCAGAUUAUUUUAUACAGAUAGACAGUUUUCAAAAACAUCAGAAAUCUAGAGAAUGAGACAUUCAAUGUUAUUUAUUCACUUGUUAUUGAAACACAUCUGCUCCUAACAGCUCCUCAAUCAUGGAUUCAAAGAAGCAGCUGAGCAUCUCUACCUCCAAGUGAGGUGGUACAUUGUGGUUAGGUAGCCACUGGGCAGAAAUUGCCUCUCUCUCCUGCAGACCUGUACCAUCCUUCAGAGGACACAAGUUUAGAUUAUUAGGACAGCUUAGUUCUGCUGAUACAGAAUAAGCUAGUCCUUAAUAAUUCCUGAUUUUCAAAGUCUGUCAGAAUAUCCUAGGCCAGAAGGUUGAGGACUGUUGCUUCAACUUCCUGACUACCUGGGGCUGUAUAGGUACGCAGCUCUCUCUACAAUUUGUCUCAGUUCUGGAAGCUGUGUUGGGCUUCCUACAUUUUCAGAUAAUGUUGGUCAUUCUCGGAUUUCUGACGGGAUUGAAGACUAGUUAUAGUCUCAUAUCCAAUCCAGGCUCUUUAACAUUGAGAAAAUAUAUUUGAGAAGAUGGUUUUUAAGAUAGUACACAAACUAAACCAGAUUAUAACAUGGAUUUAUAAGCCUCUUUUAAGUUAGGAUAGAUAAUAUUGUUCUAUUUAAUUGACAAAAAUAAUGGACCGGGUGUUAGGUGUAUUUUGUACUCUAUAAAUUACAGAAUGAUAGUUGUGCUCAAUUUAUAUCUGAGAUAAAAGGGUCUUUUAAUUGGAUAGAAAGGGGGAAAUGUGGAUGGCCCUGGUGUUGUUUGUAUUUUGAUUUAAUUCAGCUUCUCCAAGAGUGGCUGCCUGGGAUGAGGAGUGACUCAUGUACUCAGGACUUCAUGUGACCCUUCUAAUGAAUUAAAAAAAAAAUCACUGGGCAAGUAGGUGAGACUUCCCGGUCAGAGAGAGGAAGACAAGGGGCAGGAAAGAGACUGACUUUUGUACAGGAGACAGGUGAAGGUCAAAAUGUAGCUAACAAGAGGCCCCCGGUUUAGAUGGUGAAUCUGCCAGAAUAUGCCACCUGCGGAGUUAUAUUUAGUAUAGCUUACAAAAUUAGAAUGCUAGCUGCUGUGCCUAGUGAUUGAGUUAACCUGUUGAUUCUCAACUAAGUUUGUGUGGUAUUUUCUUUCAUGUGGUGACUCAACUGGGUUCCAAAGAGAAAGGUAUGAUUGCAAAGCAUGGGUUUGCAAGAAGCAAACCCUAAAAGGUCAUGGGAAUUUGGAAGUGUGGGGUUGGCAUGUAACGACCCGACAGUGGGACCUUAGGGAGCUGGGUGGAGAGAUUUUGGAGCUCUGGGUCAGAAAGGCGCCAUGAGAAGAGAAUAGGCCAGUGCCUUGCUGGUGAGAGUGUGGAUUGAUAUUUCACACAACAGGCUGGUUCUUGGAUUUCUCUUGGGCUGUACAAAGUAAGGACUUUGUCACAUACCCCUAAGGCUGGGUUUUAUCAGAAACUGUGUGAUCUCUGCCCUUCCAGAAAAUGCUGAUUAUGACUUAAGAGUGUACUCAUGGUGGCAUCUGUAUUAGAUAUUUUAAUUUUGAAUGGUAUAUUGAGGAAAAAAUAAAGAUUUCUGGGGAAAAGUAUCUAAAGAUAGCUGUCACUUAUGUCACUAUGAUGCUUUUUUGUGCAAACUCAAGUUGAGGUAUGCACUCUUUACCCAGCCUAUACUUGUGAACUCUGCACUCUGCUACCCAGCCUAUACUCAUGAGCUGUGCUCUCUGCUACCGAGUUUUGUCUUCGCCAUCACCUAUUUCCCUUCUUUUAAGAAUAUAGAACUCUGGUCACCUUUUUGAGAGAGUGUUGAACAUGGCUACCCAAGACUGCCCAGGUACAAGUUGCAAUUAUUGUUAUUUCUCCCUGUGCCUAUUAGGAUUUUAAUUCAGUCAUAGACCAUGAGGUUAUCAACUUGGCUAUUAGUAGUGUUUGAAGCAAAAAUUCACCAACAAAGACGGAAAGGAAGCAGCAGCUAUAGAAUGGCCAAAGCCAAUUUUUGCUCCAGAUUUUUAGGAAAUGCUAGUUGGUUACUUUGGAGUAAAAUGCAAAGCAAUAAUCCAUUUUCCAAGUAAAAAAGGAGUUAAGCAAAAAUAAAUAGACAUUUAUUUACUUAUGUUGAUCUGAAUUUCAUUCUUUCAUUUCUUUCUGUAGAACUUCUUAGCUGGAGCUAGAUAUCAUCACUGACUAAGAUAAAUGUAGGGAAAUUCAUACUUUAAUCAUUGGCUGUAAUAUUCGAAGAUGAAAUACAGCUUCAUAUCCAAUAACAGAAUUAUUUGCAGGCAUUAUUAGUCCCAAGGGAUAGCAAACAUAGGCCACAUCCGGAUCCUUCUAGAAGGAACGGCAAGUCUGGAGAGGCAAGAGUAGCAAUUCUUGGCAGUUUAAUGAUGGCGCCCAACUCAAGUUCAAAGUGUAAAGCUCUCUGUUGCAGUGGCUCCAAGAAUAUGGAACCCCAAAAGACCUUUAGAGGCUGACUAAAGUUAAUACGGCAUUCAUUUAUUAACCAAGAAAUAUGGGUCUACCAUCUGCCUGGCACCAGGUGUGUAUCUAUCUGCGUGAUGAGCUGCCUGCCGUACGUAUUGACUGAAGGAGCGUGUGGUAAGACUUUGCUCUUCUCCUGGCUAUUAAAGCAGCAUGCUCUGAACUCAGUUUUAGAAACUGUGGGACUUGGGGGAGAGGCAGAGGCUGCAGGGGAAAAUGAGUGUUGUGGCCAAUGAGAGGAUCCCUGUGCCAUGAAAGCGUGUGGCCGAAGAGCUCUGGACUCAUCGCUUGACAUACUGCGCAUUUCAUGGCGUAGAACAUUUACAAUGGCAUGUCUUCAGGUGUGUGUCAUCUGGGAUACAUGCGGUGUAGGGAAAAAUAUGAACAAAAUCAACUCAACUGAUGUUCCGGAUGAGCAUCAGACCUUGGGCCUCCAAUCCAAGAAGAGGUGGUGGCUGAGGGGUUAACCAUGCCAGUUUCCAACUCUGGGACGUGAAAAGAAAAUCUGCAGCAAAAAAAAAAAAAAAUAUAUAUAUAUAUAUAUAUAUAUAUACCAAGCAGACUCCUCAGAUGUGUUCUUAGGAACACGGGCUGCUCUUGUCAAAGACCCGUCACACAUGCAAGGCUAACAGUUUCUUUUUUUUUGCAGUCCUUGAACAAUAACUGCUUUGAGAGGAUGAUUUCACCGCGCAUGCUCAGAGGGAAGCACAUGGCUUGACAGUUCCAGAAAUUUGAACCCUGCCUGGUCAUGAAAAUCACCCUCCUUCAUCCUGAAAAAUUGUCUCUCACUGUCAAAGAUUAACCUGACGGGCAAAGGAGAGGUCAUGAGGGGGUCUCACUUCAUAGUUUGUCAUUACUGUCUGCUAGUUUGGCCUCUGACAUAAUUACCUUUUCUAAUUUAAUAAACAUAUGGAAUUACUUUUUUCUAACCAUGA